AUCGUUUCUCGGCCUUUUGGCUAAGAUCAAGUGUAGUAUCUGUUCUUUCCAGUUCAAUUAUUAUUUUGGAAAUUUUACCCAAAUUGAAGCUGAUGCCUCAGCCCCUCUGGCCAACUUAGUAGUCUUUAAGUUUUAGCAAGCACUUUUAGCCCCUGUGAUUAACUAAGCCUUCUCGGUCUAUCUACAGGUUAUACA
Small nuclear RNA from Suricata suricatta (meerkat), 195 nucleotides. Its record names the gene U2. It matches the Rfam family "U2 spliceosomal RNA". Rfam says of the family: U2 is a small nuclear RNA (snRNA) component of the spliceosome (involved in pre-mRNA splicing). Complementary binding between U2 snRNA (in an area lying towards the 5' end but 3' to hairpin I) and the branchpoint sequence (BPS) of the intron results the bulging out of an unpaired adenosine, on the BPS, which initiates a nucleophilic attack at the intronic 5' splice site, thus starting the first of two transesterification reactions that mediate splicing. Lineage: Eukaryota; Metazoa; Chordata; Mammalia; Carnivora; Herpestidae. The record is from Ensembl.